Molecule: non-coding RNA, 33 nt
Filed under: unclassified sequences
Description: DUF805b RNA
Rfam family: DUF805b RNA
About the family: Bacteroidetes, Chlorobi (1 example), Proteobacteria. Lineage (Flavobacteria)
Source: RNAcentral
UAAGCGGAAGCCGAAAAGCUCAAAGAGUAGGUA